Molecule: long non-coding RNA, 14297 nt
Organism: Sarcophilus harrisii (Tasmanian devil)
Lineage: Eukaryota; Metazoa; Chordata; Mammalia; Dasyuromorphia; Dasyuridae
Source: Ensembl
CUUAGCAGCACGUAAAUAUUGGCGUUAAGAUUUUAAAAGUAUCUCCAGUAUUAACUGUGCUGCUGAAGUAAGGUUGGCCCCUCUCUGCAAAAAAAAAAAGGGGGGGGGGUUGUUUGUUUGUUUUGUUAUGUUUUGUUUUUUUACUUUAAGAUACUAAAGCAUUUUGUAAAAACAUUUGGAGAAUUCGUGUUUGUAUAUAUUUCAAUAUUAUUUAACUUUAUUUUUAAAAAUAGCUGUGUUAAAUUUCUUAGUGAUUUUCUGUUUUGUAAAGUAAUAAACUGAAGGCAUUUAAUCUAUCAAUAUUUAUCCACCAUUUCAGAAGUUAGAAAAACAACUAAUUUUUUUUUUUUUUUUUAAUUUUAAAUAGUUCUCCAGUAUAAACGGUAGGCAUGGAAAGAUGAGCAUUUGGACUUUUAAAAUGAUGUGAAAUUGCUAGCCAUAAAAUGUUUAGGGGAUUUCUCCACGCCCCCCAUAAAAGUCUUGGGUAGUUUAUGCAUUAAAUCUUAACAAAUUUUUUUUUUUUUUAAUGUAAGCAUUUGCUCCUUAGAGAGAGUGAAUUUUAAGAUAACAGUAUCCAUUUUAAAAUUACUACUUUUAUAUGCAGUGAUGAUUAGAAAAAGUAUCUCCUUUAGUUUCUCUUCUUGUCUAGACCUACUAGUUAUCAAAUGAUUGAAUUAAAAUGGAUGAUAAUGAGUUUCUCUGUGUGUAUAUUUUGAGUAAAGUAAAACAGUUCUUGACUCAUUAAAAGUAUAAAGAGAAAGCAUAACAAAUCAUUUCUAGUAAUUAAAAUUAUUCAUUUGGGGAACUUAGGAUUCUAAGUUCUACUUUAAAUGUAUGUUAAAUAAUUAAUAUUAAAGUUGAGAAACUAAAGAGAAGACUAUUCAAAGUAAUCAUAUAUGGGUAAUUGGGCCUUUAAAAAACUUUCUCUAAGGAAAUCUUAUCUGCAACAGUUGCAUAACAAGUCUUAUAAAGAAAUGAAAUGCUGACUGAACUUUCUGUGAUCCAGGUAAUGUUCAGAAGAUGGUCCUUAUUUUGAAAUAACUCAUCAAGAGGAGGAGAUAAUCUAAUUUUCUUUGAUAUUUUCUAGCAGUUGCCAUAUAAUUUUUAAUGCUAAUUAUAUAUUCAGUUCAAUAUUUAUAGUAGUCUUCUAAAUAUACAAUUUAUUUUCAAAUUGUAUUAUUCUAAACUUUAUGUAACAUUAUAGUCAAUUCAAUUGAUAGUUUGUUUCCUGAGUAUUUAAUGGGUUUGGGGAAUUUGGGGAGGAGGGGAUGUUUGUUUUCCAAUUUGUAUUGGGGGGAUUGUGUUUAUUGUGGGGCAUGGUUUUUUGUUUUGUUUUUUAACAUAUCAGAUUAUUUCGAAUUAGUAUUAAUAAUUUGUUUUUUAAAUAUUGAUGCACUUUUAUCUCUCUGAAGAAAUCUCAUAUUUAAUAUUCGAGCUUCAAAUGUAAAUGAAGAUCAAUUUAUGUUGCUACUUAUAGCUAAAUCAUAGCUUCUCGUUUUAAAGAUUACUAUAAAUUCUCUCAAUUGAGAGAGAGAGAAGAUAAAACUUGGGGAAAAUAAACCAUGAAGUUUAUGGAGAGUAAGAAUCAAAAACUUGAAUUUGCAGCCAUCUCUUUUAGAAGCUUCUAAAGAUAGCAUAUAGUAAGUAUAUAUUCUUGAAUAUAGACUAAUAGUAGCUUGGCAGAAUAAGAAUGGAAACGUAUCUCAUUUCGUAGUCAUCUUUCUGUGUGAAAUCUUUUUGGAACUUAAUUCAAUUGCUUGCAAAAUUUCACUUAGAAAGGUAGUAUGGAGGCUUAUUAGUGUAAAUUCAACAUUUUUGUUUCUUCCUUAGAUAAAAUCCUAAUGUCUUUCAGGUUUUUUUAAGUUGUUGCUGAAUAAUUGCAAUUGUUGACAAUCUCUCCUACUUGGAGUAUGGAACUUAACCAAAACAAUUCAGGUGGAUAUUAUCGUCCUGAUGGGAAAAAAAGCCUUGUCUCGCGUGUUUCAGUAUCUCAUUGAUUUAAAGAAAGUAAAAAUUAGUGUCUCACUGUUUUGAGAGAGCUUUGGCUCUUUGAAACAUUUAGGUAGAUUAAUGUACUUAUUGGAAAUGAAGUAAAGGUUAUGUUGAGUUAGUCUUAUCUACUAUUUUUAUAGAGGCUCCUUAUAUUAUUUAUGCUUAUUAAGAGGAGUUCUGAUUAGAUAAGCAUAUAUUCAAUUAGUUCUUAUUGUCCUGUUAAAAAAAUGACAUAAUAGCCCAUGACGUUUGCUUUUUUUUUUUUUAAUACUAUGUUUUUAUUUUGUUUAAUCCAAGGCAUCAGCAAAAUAAGUUAUCCUUAUUGACUUUUGCUUAUUUAUUUGUAAUUCUACUGAAAAAAUAAUUAUGAAAUUAAAUUGAAAACUUUGUAAUUCAUUCAAAAAUUAUCUUAUGUAUCAAAGAAACUUAGUUUGAAAUGACUAAUAGAUCUUUAGGUUAAUGUAUUGAAUGAAAUGAAUAAAAAAGGCAACAGGUAUUACUCAUUGUAAAUAAUCUUGGCUGCAUAGUCUAAAUAAUUUCUUCAAUUUUUGGUGAGGCAGUUGGGGUUGUGACCUUCACAGGGUCACACAGCGAGGAAGGGUUUGAGGUUGGAUGUGAUCUCAGAUCCUCCUGCUCCAGGGCUGGUAUUCUGUCCAUUGCAUCAUCUAUCUGGCCCCUUAAUUUGUAAUUAAUAUAGCUAGACUACUACCUAGUACUAUAAUAACCCAUCCUUUGACAGAGAAAAUAGUGGACACGAAUAGGGGAAUUUUCAGUGUAUUAAGAUUUAUUAUGAAUUUGUACUUUUUAAAAUGUUAUUGUAUCAGAAUCAAAAUUAUACUCAACUAUUUUCAUCUUCCAACUUAUAAGAUAACAAGGGACAAACAAAUGACUUUACAUAGACUACCAAAAAAUUAAUUUUAGAUUGUAUAAAAAUGUUUGUUUUAGUAUCUAAGACAAUGGGAUAAAGAAUUUACUGAAAUAAUCCACAAAUUUUGUUCUCUUACAACAGAAUUUUAUAUUUAUUUAGAAACCAUAUAUGCCCUUUUUUAUUUAGUCUUUUUUUUUUUUUUUUUUUUUGCUGCUGUUAUUUAAUUCUGUAGUUGUUUGCUUAUUUUUAAAAACUUAGUUGUUUCCAUUUGGGAAGCUAAACACUCAAAUUUUGUAGAUUGGAAAUGGCUAAAGCAUAUCAAUCAUUUUAAAAUUAGAAAAUUUUGUUAUUCGUUGAGUUUAGUCAUGCCCAACUUUUCAUGACUCAUUUUGGGUUUUCUUAUUAAAGAUAUUGCCAUUUCCUUCUCCAGCUCAUUUUACAGAUAAGGAACGGUAGCAAGCAGGAUAAAGUGACUUAGAAUCACAGUCAGUAAAUAACCCAGCAUGCUAUUCAGAAUAGUUUUAAUUGCCUCCUUAAAUUGUAGUCUAGAUUCAGUCAUACCUGAGCACUUUGUAAUUUUAUGAAUUCACUUGCAAAAGUAUGGUGCUGGUUUCAAGAGAGAAAUUUUCUUUUAGAAUAAGAUAUGUUAUUUAGAAACAUUGUUGUCAUUUGUUACUCAAAUUUUUUCAUUUUCUUUGAAUACUUUUCUCUGACAUUUUUUACUAGUAAAGAUAAUUUUGUAUAGAAUUAGAUUUGUUUUAAUGUAUCUUGUAGAAUAUACUUCUAGAUGACUCUUAAUUCAUGAUUCUUUGAACUAAAGAAGAACUCAACUUUUUCAUGUCUAGGCUCAUCUCUGAAUGUAUUUUUUAAAGUAUUAAAAUAUAUUUUUUAUCUGUAUUACUAUUCUGGCAUUUCUAUUCUUGUCAGUUUUUUUAAAAAAUUAAACACUUAACAUAUUUAUUAACAAAAUCAUUUCAUAAACUACAGUCUUAACUGUCAAUUCUCCUGGAUGUAAAAAAUUAAAGUAAUAUGUAAAUUAUUUUGCAUCUGGCAUUAACUUCAAAUUACUGGACUAUUUUUUGUCUCAUACUUGGCCAUAAAUUUUCUUACUAUAGAUAAGUUUGUUGUCUAAUUUGUUGUUGUGAAAUUUAAUGUUUCAGCCACAUUAAUAUAUGAUGGGUAGGGUGCGGGAGGAAGAUGGGAAUAGAUCCAGAAGCUUUUGUACUGAAAGUUUUUGUACAGAAGUUUUCAUAUUGAAAACUGUUUCUAACUCAUGUAUUUUUUUUUUAUUUAAUAGCCUUUUAUUUACAGGAUAUAUGCAUGGGUAACUUUACAGCAUUAACAAUUGCCAAACCUCUUGUUCCAAUUUUUCUAACUCAUGUAUUUUUAAAAACUGUGUUUGAACAGGAUUAUGUAUGUUGUUGCACAAAUUUUCUUCUGCCUUUGUAAUAUAUUAUACAUUUUUCCUUUGCUAUUUUUGAUAAAUUAAAGGCAGUAAGACCACAUGGGAAAUUCCUCAUGUCAAUUUGAAUUUGGCAUGGGGAAUUGGACUUUUUUUAGAUAUCUCUUAACUGGAUUAUGGAUUUUUAAAAAUGUUUUCACAGUGAAAACUUAGUUUUCCAACCUUGAUGGAGUCACAUUUCCACUGAUGGUGAAACAUCAUAACCUAUCAAUCACUUUGAAGAUUUCCCUAAAAUAUAUUAGGUUUUAUUAAGAAAUAUCCUUACUAUUAAAAGUGUGCAUAAAAGAAAAAAAUCUUGUUUUCAAGAACAUAACUUCCAACUGAUAUGUCUAUAAUAUAUACAUGUGUGGUUACUAUACAACAUUAAAAACAUGGAAUCUCUUUCAGUGGAAACUAACCUUAUAAUUGGCUAGUUUAAUUUUUCUCAGGAAAAGUUUAGUGCUUUGACACUAACCCAUUUUUGGAAUCCUGUCAUUUUAUGGGUGUUAGGAGUUCCAUUUACAAAUACUAUAAAUUUAGAAAAUUAUUUAGGAUUAUUCAAAAUCAAGAAGAAACAAAAAUAAGUAUGAGAAGGUAUUUAGCAAAUAGUAACUCUGCAAGAACUUGGAACUCUCUAGACUUAAUGCAGUCUUUUUGGGGCAUUGCUGCUCAGUUAACCCCCUAACUGUUCCCUCAUGUAUACCCUACUGUUGCCACCUGGCACAAACUUAAUAGAACUAAAAUCAAACUAGCCCAGAACUAAUUGUAUACAGUGAAUAGUGUUUUAUGCCAUUCAAAAGCAGAUCAACAACUCAUGCAUAAUAUGAACAUUGUGGGAAAUUGUACCCAUACUCAAAAUAUCUCCUUCCUGACAUUGUUGAUGAUGAUUCUGUUGCAUGAUCUCUAUCUACUAUGACAAGGCUAUUUGUACUCAGAACAGUGUAUGUGCACUGGGGACAGAAGACUGGAUUUUGAGUCAGAAAAACUAUAUGAGAACUCUGGCUCAUAUUUACUCUGCCUUUAUGAUUUGGAGCAAGUUAUAAAUCGGACCUAAAAUGGGAAUUUUCGUUCAAUGACAUCUGAGAGGGCUUUCUACUCAAACUUCUAUGCCCUAUGGCUAUUAACAAAAUUCAUUUAAUACCUACUGAAUGAAACAACCCCUACUUUCAAAGAGCUGAAGCAAAUACUUUUUGUUAUAUUUAACCUAUUUCUAUGAUGUAUUCCUUUUUAGAUUUUGAGCUCCUUAACAGUAGGGGGAAAUGUCUUAUAUACACAUUUGUUUUCUUGCCAUUUAGUAUAGUACUUUACACAUAAUAAAUGCUUAAAUAUUAAUUGAAUAAAAUAAGUUCUUCCCUUUUAUACUGAUCAUGUAGUCUACAUUAUAGUGAAACUAAAGUAGUGUUCCCUUAAUGUGAGAUUUCCUUAUGUUUUAGGGAGAACUUUUAAAUUAAUAUUAAAAAAUAUAAGAAAAAAAUUUCCUUUUGUUUAUAUUAGCCAAAAAAUAAAGUGGGCUGCUUUUGGAGACAGUGAAUUUAUAGGUUCAUCUAUACAGUGAUUUGCUCAUGGGCACACAGGGAGUACAGCUCAAAAUUGAAUCCAGAUCUCUUUUCACAGUGUUGUCAUGCUGAUAUCCAUAAACCAUUUUGGCACAAGACAACUCACUGGAGAGACUAAAAGAAUCUAGUUUUGAUUUUGAGAAAUAAGAUUUAACCUAUCAUAAUAGCAACUAAUGAAUGAUAGAAACGUACAGCAGGAAUGAGGAAAGCCUAUAGGGGAUCACUGAUAGUCAUGAAGGAACUAGUCUAGUUAUAUAACAACUCUUUUUGUAAAUUGGAAAUAAAUCAAGAGAGCAAGUGGAACAUCCAUUUCGCUAACUUGUAAGAUCUUUCAGUGUGAUUUCAGUCAAACUUUCCAUCAGUGUAGUUAAAUUGUUUUACUACCCAUGUAGUGUCCAUCUUGAUUUUUUAUUUUGUGUAGGCUGCACCCUCUGCCCAAAAUACAUUGUUUUCAGUUUCUGCCUCUUAAAAAUUUUAACUUCCUUCCAAAUGUAAACUGAAGUGUUACUAUCUACAAGAAAGUUUCCCUGAUACUCUUUAAUUUUUUUUUUACAUUAAAUAAAUCAGUUUAAUUCAUUCUGCCUAUUAGAAUAUAAGUUCUUUGAAGGUGACGACUUUUCUUUUUCUAUUUAUAUUCCUAGGACUUUGCUAUUAAUGUUUAUUGAAUUAUAUUUUCUGUCUUGUAUUUUAAUUUUAUUCCUUGGUAAAUUUUGGCUAACAGCCCAAGUAACUACAUAAUUAAAUGAUUGUUACAGGCUGUGAAUGCCCAAGGUAUAAAAAAUAUGAUAGAAGUUACAAUGAUUAUAUUGUUGAUCAGGACCCAGGGUAGUAUGCUAUAGCAACUAAUGAAUGAAUUUUAAGAAAGGUACAUAGUAAUUUCAAAGACUUCUUAAAAGAAUAAAGAACAUAAACUAAUUGCAGUAAAAGUUUAGAAUGAAUUAACACAUAUUAAAUACUUGCUGUUAAAGAACUUUAUUAUGAAAUAGUUCUAUAGCUUGCAUAAGCUGCAUUGACUCAAUUGGAAUUAAGAAAAAGGAUAGCUACUUUAGGGAUAAUCAGGAUAUGUGUAUCCUGGGGUCCUAGAGAAUUAGAAAGUGUGAGAGGAUUUAAAAAUGGAGACCAGAAUGACAAAGGUGGUCACCUAUUUUAGCUUUUCUUCUCUUUCUUUUCUAUGUCCCUCUUCUAGGACCUUGAAUUCAGACUAGUUAUUCAGAUAUAUUUUAAGUAGAAUGAUUUGUAAGGCUAUUUUUAAAAAGCUACCAUUUUAUAACAUUUUCUGUUGCUAGAUGUUUCUCCAAUGUUGAUUUAUACAAAGACAUUUUUGGAAAAAUAGCUGUUAGAGAUUGGGUGCUACACGCAUCCAGAAAUUAAGCUAGAAAGCAAUUUCAUAUUAAACUAAAAUUUUGAAUUCUAAUUUUUAUUACUUUAUUGCUUAGGUGAGUCCUGACACUGAGAGGCAGGGAUAGCAUUUUAAACCUAAAAAGAAAUUAGUUAACCUAACCAAAUCCUAAACAGUGGUGAAAAAAUCAACAUAUAUCUUGUUAGGUUUUCACAAAACCACUGUGUACUUUUCUAAUAUAUAACAAUCUUGUAAAAUCUUAGAAUUUGUGAUCUAGAAGAUUUGAAACUAAUGUUUCAUUUCAUACAUGAAGAAAAGGAGGCAUACAAAGAUUAAAUGAUUUGUUCAAUACACAUUGCUCACAUGAACUGUUAACUAUAUUCUUAGCACAAAAUUAGAUAUGCCAUUUUCUGAUUAUCUUUUUUUUUCAGAUCCCCUGAAGAAUGGAAAAAUGGGCUGGAGAAUGAUUAUUAAGAGAAGGUUGUAUGACUGGUUAUUCAAAGAAAGAAAAGGACUUUACCGUUCUGAAUACAUGCCACCACUAUUCAUGGGUGGGAAAGACUUGGUAGGAGUUUUUUAUCCAGGUACUUCUAGUUGAGUAACAGCAUGCACGUUUUUCAUGUUACUUUAAAAAAAAAACAAAAACACAUUUGAAUGAUAAGAAAAUAAUCAUUGUUAGUACAAAUAAACUAUUACAAGCAUUUGAUUUCAUUUACAAUAAAUGACUACUUCAAAAGUUGUAUUUUUUAAAAAGCUCUUCUGCCAAUUAAGUGGCUUACACAUUGGUUAAAUUUGCCCAAUGCACAAUUAGAGACUAAAACAUUUGGGAGAGGUAGCAUGGAUCUGGAGUCAGAAGUCAAGAGUUUUAAAUCUCUUCUAGUAUUUAACUGUCCUGGGACAAGCCAUAUAAACUAUAAAAUCCCAGUUUCUGUAACACAGAAGUUCUACGAAAAUUACUUCAUGCGAGAAUCAACAUGUAUAGCAUCUCUACCAAGUGACAGCAUUAAUUUAAAUAUGUCCAGGAAUGGGAAGAUAAUUAUAAUUCAAAGCAAUUUAUUGAGACAUUUUUUGUUGUUAGGAAGUUCUUACAUUGACCAGAAAUAAAACUUGUUUCCUUGUAAUUUCAUGCUUUUAUAAUACUCAUUACUUAUUUUUACAUUGAAUGAAACUAACUUGCUUUACAGAAAAGAAUUUUCGAAAGCAGCUAAAUGGUCCGAUGAAUAGUGUUAGAUUUAGAGUCCCCAAAAACUUGAGCUCAAAUUUGGCUUCAAUAUUUACUGGUUGUGUUACACCAAGCAAUCACUUAACCUGUUUGCUUUGGUUUCCUCAUCUAUAAAGUGGGGGUAAUAAUAGCAUCUAUCGCCAAAAGUAGUUGUAAGGAUCAAAUGGAAUAAUUGUAAAGUCACUAGCACAUGUUACUUGUUAUAAUACAUCUUCCAUAUCAUUUUUUCCUAUACAGUUCUUUUCCCCUUAUCUUUUAUUACUAGUUACUUUUUACCUUGUUUUGAAUUUUAAUAAAUGAGGAAGAAAGUAGAGCCAGGAGAGGUGAAAUGACUUGGCCAGAGACUGACUAUAGCUUCAGAAUGAGAUUCUCUGACUCCAAAUCCAGUGUCUUUUUCUGCUUCUUAUUCCUGGAUGUAUUUCAGUUUGUCAGUGUCUGCUUAAAAUGUGCCAAGGGCAGGAUAUAAGCCAGUAAAUAGCUACAUAACAAUUGAAUUGAAAAUUGGAAACAAUUCUGGCUUUUAAUAUUGUACAUAGGAGAAAAUUGUCUUUUUAAUUUUAUAUUGCAGUGUGUAAUGCUUGGUCAUUAGCAUCACCAGAACAUCAGAGAUUCUCAAGAAAAAUAGGUAAUAGUCAUUUAGCUAAUUGCAGAGACAGAAUGCCUAAAGUAACAUAUUCAAUGAGUGACAGCUUAAAUUUAAACAGAGAUUCUCUAAUCCUAUAUCCAGUAUUCUUCCUACUCUUUAUCACACUGUCUUUAUUCAAUAGGCAUUUGAUUAACAAUCUAACAUUCACUUGAAUUAGAGAUAAAAUAUGGAAAGACAAAUCAGUUCUUUAUAAACUUAGGACAUUAAGCUAGAUAAUCUCAAAGUGAAGCCUUCCAGAUCUAAAGUUCUUUGAUUAUUUAAAAAGCUAACUUUGUAUAACCUUAAGGUCACAAUUGAUAGAUUUCUUUUUUUACUAACAUUUUGUGCUUUAACUGAAAUUAAGCAAAUUCAAAGGAUAUUUUGUAUCAGAAUUUUUAAUUGAUAAUUUUCUUACAUUUUCAGUAGCAUUGGUGAUAGUUUAUACAACUUAAAGAAUAAAGUCAGUUUUAUUGAAAGGAAGACAAGUUUUCAUAUCCCAAAAGAAACAUGAAAUGUGUUAUUUAUUAGCUAAUUAUAUUUUAAAUAUAUAGUACACAAUUCAAUCUGUAUGGCAGCAUUAGUUUUUUGGGGGAAUAGACUUAAUUAUAUUCUACUACUAGCUGAAUAAAGAGGUACACACUACCUUGUCAUUUGAGAAUGAAUUCCUCUGCUAUGGUAACCCAGGAAAUUAAAAAAAAAAAAAAGUCACUCAGUCCCCCUACUCUUCCUCUACCGAUAAUGGUAUUGUCUGAACAAAGAACAGAAGGCGCUAAAAAAGAAUUUUUUUUUUUUGAGAGCCUCUAUAAACUAAUGUAGCUCCUGGUAUUCUUAAGGUCAUAUCUUGGUCCAGUUACCAAUAGAUAAUCUUCCACUGACAGAAAUUAUUCAUGUCAAUCUUGAUAUUCCUACUAUAAUUUAAACCAGAAGAAGGAAGUUGAUGCUAAAUGGAAGAAUUCAGCAGGUUCUCAAUGAAGAAGGAAAUGAAGGAAUUAUUGGUAGCAUUAGUUAUAUUAUAAGGUAAGAAGAAGCAAUUCAUAGAAUAUUUAGUCCUCUGGCACUGUAGUGCUUAUGAUAAGUAUUUGUAAAAAGUCUCCCAAUGCAAUACUGGUAUGUAUACCAGUAUUCUUUUGAAGAUAAAAUAGAGAAAUAAUGGAAGUUCAUUACUGACAAGCAAAAGUGAGAAAAGAGGAUUAAGAAAGCAAUUAGUGAUUAAAAAAAAAAAAAUGAGAAUAAGUGCCACAGAUGACACAGAAGCCUCAUGCCUAUCUAAACAUCUUUGAAAAAUAAUUGAUAGAUUUUGGACAUUGCAAGCACCUAAAUAACCCCACAAAGAAAUAAAAUUGAUUAUAUUUUAGCUGAAAAAGAUGACUCACAGCUGGCAUUAUAGUGAUUCUUAAAUCAUCUGUCCAUAUGGUCAUAUCAAUGACUUGGAGAAAAAAUCAAAAUCGUUACAAAGCUAGAAAAACUAAAAUUUAAAAGUUUUAGUGAAACUCAUUUCUAUUGAAUUUCAACAAUUUAUUGAUAAGAAAAACCAAAACUUGUAUGAAUUAAUGGCAAAGGAAAGUUCAUAGAAUCAGAACAAUUUAUUCCAGAACAGCAAUAUUGUGAAGAUAAAUUUGAAAGACCAGUGUCAUAAUAAAUAUAAUAAUUUCUAAAUUGCCAUAGCAGAGAAUAAAGCCUAAAAAGCAACUUCAUCAGAAAACGUUUGAUGUAAAAGGUAGCCCACAGCACCAUUUUAGAACUUCAGGCUUGUUCUAAGAAAUCAUAUGGAAAGAUAAUGGAAGAUUAUAAACUAAAUCACCUCAUAAAGCAGAAAAGAAUGGAGAUUUAAACUAAUUGAAGCGAAAGCUUGAGUGAAAGAAGCAAUUGAACAGUUUACCCUGAUGGCAUUGUGGGACUAAACUUGGAAAGAGGAUAAUGAACAGAAGAAAAAUAGAAAUCCAAAAAGUUUUAUUAGAAGCCUUUCUUCACUAUCAAGGGCAGUAGAACUUUUUUUUUUAUAAGAAGGUGGAAAUAUCACAAAAAAUCAUAAAGGAGUAAGGAAAGGAAUAAGCAUGUAUAUAGCUCCUUAUAUGUGCCAAGCAUUGUGCUGGUGCUUUUACAAAUAUUUCACUUGUCAUAAUCUGCAAUUUUUAUGGGGGUAGGGGGAAGGGAACUAUAAGUCAGAGAGGUAUUAAGUGUCUGAAGCUUAUGUUCAAAUUUUGAUCUAUCAUAACUAUAUCUGCAUCCUACCAGAUGCAUCAGAAGUGGCAAAAAGCAACAUAAUUGGCUGACAUGCACAUUAUAUUUGCAUGCUAGAGAUAACAUUUUUAAGAAUAUUGAAAAAUCCGUGGUGUCUUUUAAGUCUUAACAUAAAUAAGGCAUUGAAGAACUGAAAGAAUGUCAUAAAUUCUUUGGGAAUGUAUGCUAAAAAUAAUUGACUGUUCUGAUGUCCAGGCUGAGAUAUCAGAAGGCAAUAGUUAAGGCACUCUACUGGUAUCCUAGUAUUUCUAGCAUAUUCGGUGAACCCUCAGCUGUAAACUUGAACAAGAGUUAGCUGUAAUAGAAUAGAUUUGGUUUGGAUUAUCUUUAUUGUUGGAGGAAGCAUACAACAUGUUAGCUGACAGCCUUCUGAAAAGAUAACUUGUAUAGUGUUUUUAUUAAAAUAUGAAAAGCUGAUUUUAGCUAGAGUCAGGUUUUUCCUAGACAGUGUUUAUUCUUGCAUAAACAUAUAUCAAAGCAUUUUACCCUUAUGAAUUUAUAUUAUGUAUAUGUAGAAAGCCAUAAGGAAUAGCAUUUUUAUUACAUCUAUUUAAAAAUAGAAAGGACAGGGAAUACCUUCUUAUAAAAAUAUUUUCAAUAUAGGGGCAGCCAAAUGACUCAGAGAUUAGAGAACUGGCCCUGAAGUUGGGUGUGUAUGGGUAUGCAUGUAUAGCUUUUUUGAGAUUAAAAACCAUUAUUCCACUGUAAUAGUAUUUACCAGAAAAGUUACAAUCUCAUCUAUAUCCACUUAGUCUUAACUGAUAAAAAAUUUUAACUUAACUGAUAAAGAAUUUCACAAUGAAAGGCUUCGAACAAAAUUUACUGAUGUCUGGCUUAUCCUAUUAUGUUUUUAGUAAAUUGCUUUUGCAUAGGAAUGUCAGAAAGCAUGAUAGAUCAAAACAUGAGGAAGCUUUAUAUGAACUUAAAAAAAGCCUUAGGUGAAAAGUCCUAAACAGUACAUAUGAAUUUCAUACUUGGUAGAGUCGAUUUCCAUGUGUUAAAUGACUGAUCUUCAGCCAUAUAUUACCAUUUUCCCUCCACGAUUAAAUGUAUUCCUUUUAGCACACAUACUGGAAAUGAAGAUUUUAACACAAAAAUUGAAUGUGAUAAAAUUACUAUUUUUCUUUAGAGUAAGAUUAGUUAACUUUUUCAAAGAGCCAUUAAAAAGUAGGUUCAGACUAACCAUAGAAACCAUCAGUUAUAUAAUAUAGAUUCUAAAACAGUUCACAGUUGUUGAAAGAUGAUCAAGUGGUGAAUUCUCUGAGCAUCUGAAGAAUGCAUAGACUUCAUUGCUCUGGAAAUGCUCUGGAAAAUGUUAUCCAUUAUAGCAACCUGAAUGAGUAAACUAUUAAAAACGGGAUUAGACUAGCUUUUGUGCUUGAUUUGAAUCUCUGAAACUUUUAGUUGUAAUUUUCUUGGGAGGGAAAAAAAAGUAUGGGAAGAAAGGUUGACAAAAUAGAAAGUUCAAGGAAACACUUAACCUUCCUCUUGGCUUCUGAACCUCAAGGUGCUAUUGUGAGUAAAAAAUGAUUAUGUACUCCAGUGAUAAAAAGUUUAGUGUUCAAAUGUACUUAAGAGGUAAUCCAUUUUAGUCCAUAAAUGGAAAUUAAGUAACACUUAAGUUUUAGGAAGUUCUUUUCACAGCACAAACCUGUUUCUCUUUAGCUUCUAUCCAUUGCUUAUAGUUUUGAUUUCUGGGGUCCAAACAAGUCCAAUUCAGCAAAUGUAUAUUAAAUGAUUAUUGUUUGCAAACCAAGCUCCUUGGUAAGGGAUUAUAUCUUAUCUAAACUAUCUCUUUUAACCACCAACAGUUUCACUUGAGAUUUUUGUUUUUUAACUUAAUCAGAUAUUGAAGAUAUCCUUCAAGUACCUAUUUGAAUUUUAAGCAAAUUUGUUACCCUCAUAUACAACUAAAACGUGUUAAUGAAAGUUACAAAGAAUGAAAGUUAUUCCCAAGUAAGGAUGAUCUGGAUUCCUUUUUAAAGCUAUCAUAUUGGGCUACAAGUGAAAUUUCACAAUAUUUCUGAAGUAACUCUUAAGAGAGCUUGGUUCCACUUUGCCUCACUGCAAAGAAUUCCUGGAUGCCGAAUCUGACGAUAUUACAAGGAAACAUUUCAGAGAAUUAAAAAAGUUCCUGUUGGCAUUGCCACCAUUCCAAGCUUUAAGUCUCAAGAACACAGUUCUUCGAAAGUGAGGACUGCUCACACUCCCCAAUGUGGCUGGGGAAACCUGGAGAAGGCAACAGCAUCCAGCAAAAUUUAUGAGAGCAUCUCACACCAGUAAAAGGUGUGAGGUAGCCCAAGCCAGUGGAAGGUGCAUCUGCAGCAGAUUCUUGUCCUCGGAGGAUAGUAGGCCACCUUGUGAAAAGAUUCCUGAUCCUGGAACAGUAAGUGACUUUGGGGACUUUGAGUGGGGGACUAGACUGCUGAUGCUGCCUGUAUCACCUGCAUACGUCUGUUCUAAUAAAAAUUUGCUUGGUGCCUUAUGGCCAGCAUGUGUGUAACUAGAUUAACACCAAAUUUUUCCAAAAAGGUGGAUUUCUUAGGUUCCUGGGUAUAUAAGUUAAGGGAAACAAUUCUCAAAAGUUGGAUCAUCAAUGCCACAAUUAUUUCUGUUUCAAGGGUAAUACAAGACUGAUUAGAUAGGAGAAAAGAUGGAGACAUACAGACCAGUAGAAGUCUGUUGCAGUAAGGCUAGAAUGAAGUUUUGAGGAUAAAUGAUCUUAAAAAUGGAAGCAUAAAUCCAAGAGAAGAAAUGACAAAGAUUCAAGAAAAUUAUCUAAGAAGACUCAGUAAUAGACUAAAUAUAGGAGAAGAAUUCCCAGGUAUCUAGACUUGAAGAUCAGGAGAAGAACCAGUACUCCUGAAAGAAAUGUCACAAUUAGCAAAAGAAUAUAUCUUUAAGAAGGAAUCCAAUUUUAAAUGUUAAGUAAUGGUAGAACAUACCAGAAGAAUUAUCUUAUAGAUAUUAGAAAAGGUAGAGCACAUCUAAAAGGGGAACUUAUAGACAUUGA